This 252-nucleotide ribosomal RNA is filed under the name uncultured bacterium. Its description in RNAcentral is "partial 16S ribosomal RNA". It matches the Rfam family "Bacterial small subunit ribosomal RNA", at positions 524 to 776 of the family's 1533-position model. The record is from RNAcentral.
UACGUAGGUCCCGAGCGUUGUCCGGAUUUAUUGGGCGUAAAGCGAACGCAGGUGGUUUAUUAAGUCUGGUGUAAAAGGCAGUGGCUCAACCAUUGUAUGCAUUGGAAACUGGUAGACUUGAGUGCAGGAGAGGAGAGUGGAAUUCCAUGUGUAGCGGUGAAAUGCGUAGAUAUAUGGAGGAACACCGGUGGCGAAAGCGGCUCUCUGGCCUGUAACUGACACUGAGGCUCGAAAGCGUGGGGAGCAAACAGG